RNAcentral lists this ribosomal RNA (372 nucleotides) under uncultured eukaryote. RNAcentral's name for it is "partial 18S ribosomal RNA". It matches the Rfam family "Eukaryotic small subunit ribosomal RNA", at positions 592 to 975 of the family's 1831-position model. The record is from RNAcentral.
CAAUAGCGUAUAUUAAAGUUGUUGUAGUUAAAAAGCUCGUAGUUGAAUUUUUGCUUGCCGCCGAUGUCGGAACUUCCGUACGUUCGGCGGCGUGCAUCCUUGGGUGGAACCUGUGUGGCAUUAGGUUGUCGUGCAGGGGAUGCUCAUCGUUUACUGUGAAAAAAUUAGAGUGUUCAAAGCAGGCUUACGCCGUUGAAUAUAUUAGCAUGGAAUAAUAAGAUAGGACCUUGGUACUAUUUUGUUGGUUUGCGCACCGAGGUAAUGAUUAACAGGGACAGUUGGGGGUAUUCGUAUUCCAUUGUCAGAGGUGAAAUUCUUGGAUUUCUGGAAGACGAACUACUGCGAAAGCAUUUACCAAGGAUGUUUNCAUUA